AAAUCCAAUUUUCAUUGCUUAA
Molecule: microRNA, 22 nt
Filed under: Arabidopsis lyrata
Lineage: Eukaryota; Viridiplantae; Streptophyta; Magnoliopsida; Brassicales; Brassicaceae
Description: aly-miR4246
Source: miRBase by way of RNAcentral